This 1055-nucleotide long non-coding RNA is filed under the name Musa acuminata (dwarf banana). RNAcentral's name for it is "long non-coding RNA (MACU_LNC009187)". Lineage: Eukaryota; Viridiplantae; Streptophyta; Magnoliopsida; Zingiberales; Musaceae. The record is from RNAcentral.
UUUGAAAGAAAACAAAAGCAAGAGCAUACAAGGAUUUCAAGAAAUCACAUAUAGCUCAAUUGAAAUAAGCAAGGACCACAGGAGGGAGGUCGCACUCUCUACUCUCCUCCUUCCUCUUACGUGAAUAAGAAGAGGGGUUGUCUCUUCCUUCUUCUGCAAGAAGGGAAGAGAUCUGCAUUCAGAACGAACAGAACAGGGAGGAAAGAAGAAGCAUCAAGAAAACUUCUACGAGGGGAAGGAAGAAGCGAGAUCGGAGAAGGAGAAGGGAACGAAACCCUAUCCUCUCUACGGCCGGCGUUCUUCUUCCAUUGUGAAACAGAGGAGGGCGAAGACGAGGAAAGGGGCUGAGGUUUCUGCUCUCAAGGAGCGAUUGACCAGCUGUUAAGGAAAGAAAGCGGUGCCUUGAUUCUACUUCGCAGAAGGGAACGAAAGAAAGAGGGGGAAACAGAACCUGUUCUGUUCUCCUUCUUUCAGUGAGAUUGAAGAAGGUGGGAGAUCUGCUCUGUUUCUCUUGCACAAACAGAGGAGGGGUCUCCUUCUUACUCUUCUAAUCGGGAAAAAGGAGCAUGAACAGUGGAGAUCUGCUCUCCUUCUUCCAGCGAGAUCCGAGAAGGGAGAAGAGAAGGUCUCUGCACCGCCCCCUUUCCCUUGCUUCUCAUCGGGGAAAAGGGGCUCGGUGGCUGAUUCCUUCUAGCGGAGGCGAGGCUGCGACCAGAGAGAUCGGGGACGCUAUGCUCUUUCAAGAUCGAAAACUUUCUUCCUCUACUCAUCGUAGAAAAGGGGCAAGGGAAAAUAUUGGGGCAGAUCGGAUCUUGAAACUGAAAAAAAGAACGGGAACAUAGAGGGAGAAUUUCUGUUCUUCGCAGAAAGGAACGGAACAAAGGGAAAUUUCUGUUCUUCUUUCCUCUCUGCGGUUGGUAGCAACGGGAAGGUUGAAAUCAAACCUUUCUCUCCUACUCUGCUCGGUGAAACAGAGUUCCUUAUUGGGGGAUGGCAGUUGCAUAAAGGAGAGUUCCUUCUUUAAAAAAAAAAAAAAAAAUGUCGGGACAUGGCAG